Molecule: ribosomal RNA, 352 nt
Filed under: uncultured bacterium
Lineage: Bacteria
Description: partial 16S ribosomal RNA
Rfam family: Bacterial small subunit ribosomal RNA
Source: RNAcentral
CCUACGGGUGGCAGCAGUGGGGAAUAUUGCGCAAUGGGCGAAAGCCGGACGCAGCGACGCCGCGUGAGGGAUGAAGGUCGUCGGAGAGGAAACCUCUGUCAGCAGGGAAGAACGGUCACUGUGCUAAGCAGCAGUGAAUGGACGGUACCUGCAAAGGAAGCACAGGCUAACUCCGUGCCAGCAGCCGCGGUAAUACGGAGGGUGCGAGCGUUAAUCGGAAUUACUGGGCGUAAAGCGCUCGUAGGCGGUAUGUCAAGUCAAGGGUGAAAUCCCCGCGCUCAACGUGGGAACUGCCUUUGAAACUGGCAAACUGUAGUGUGUGAGAGGCUAGUGGACUUCCAGGUGUAGGCGU